This 486-nucleotide ribosomal RNA is filed under the name uncultured bacterium. RNAcentral describes it as "bacterial SSU rRNA". It matches the Rfam family "Bacterial small subunit ribosomal RNA", at positions 29 to 482 of the family's 1533-position model. The record is from RNAcentral.
AGUGAACGCUGGCGGCGUGCUUAACACAUGCAAGUCGAACGCGAAAGGGUAGCAAUAUCCGAGUAGAGUGGCGAACGGGUGAGUAAUGUGUGGGUAAUCUGCCUUCGAGAGGGGGAGUAACCCGGCGAAAGCUGGGCGUAAUACCGCGUAAUAUUGCGUUAUCUUCGGAUGAUGCAACCAAACGAUGGCCUCUAUUUAUAAGCUAUCGCUCGAAGAUGAGCCCACAUCCUAUCACGCUUGUUGGUGGGGUAAUGGCCCACCAAGGCGACGACGGGUAGCCGGCCUGAGAGGGUGUCCGGCCACACUGGAACUGAGACACGGUCCAGACUCCUACGGGAGGCAGCAGUGGGGGAAUUUUUUCGCAAUGGGCGAAAGACCUGACGAAGCAACGCCGCGUGGAGGAUGACGGCCCUAGCGGUCUUAAACUCCUGUCUAGCGGGACGAAUGUCUUUUGUCCAAAUAGGCAAGAAGAGUGACUGUACCGCU